Molecule: long non-coding RNA, 7132 nt
Filed under: Podarcis lilfordi (Lilford's wall lizard)
Lineage: Eukaryota; Metazoa; Chordata; Lepidosauria; Squamata; Lacertidae
Source: RNAcentral
GUUGUGGUUGGGGGAACAGAAAAGAGAGGCUGGGGGCUGUUUGUGAGGCGUUCUGCCGCGGGAAACGCGGGCUUGGCGGGGACGCGUGUCUGGAGGUGCAAUUUCACACGUUCAACCCCCCCUUUGUUAUUCGGACGUGCAUUAUACACCGAAAACAUUUAGUAAUUGAAAGCUUUAAUUUUAUAUGCACUGUAAAGAGUACACAUGCCCAAUAUAUACCAUCGUCAUUAUAAUUAUUCUUUGUUACCCAGUCUUCACCCCAAAGUCCCAGGGCAAGUUACAACAGUUAAAACGUGGUAUGAAAAACAGUUUAAAACGACUUAAAAUUGCCGAAGUGAAGUGGGUCCUAAAAACACGCAUCUGGAGUGUCAAAAGAAGUACAUGAUUUAUAAGGCGCAGUGCUUUCUAGAGUGUCGGUCUUAGGAUAGUGUCAGCCUAUGAGCGUAUAAAGUUCCAUGCGUCAAAAUACCAGCUUUGAUCGCACUUCAGUGCCCUCACAAUAUCUCCCUAACCCUUUGCAUUUACAAGUAGUAAACAUUAUUUUUACUACUGGUAAAACUGUUCCAAUAAAAAAAUUCAUACACAUGUAGGAAGAAAGCAACUCCCAAGUAUCACAAUUCAGCAAGCAAAACCAUCUCCGGGACUUGUUUUCUUUUUGCAUAAUAGAUAGAAUCUCAAUGAAAUGUUUACUAAAAGAAAAAAUACAGGAAAAUAUGCGGACUCUAAGUCUGCCUUGAGUUCCCAGCAUGGGUGGGAUGACUUUAGCUUUGUGUGACAUACUUUUCAACAAUGAAACUUAUAAAAGACUUAACGGUAAUCUGGGUAGGCACCUUUUGUUAUUGGAUAGUGGGCCUGUGCCUUUAAAUGGCUAACUGGCAGUCAGAAAUUCAGCUGUACAUCUUUUAUGAGCAAUUCAAUUUGACAUUGUUAGCUAAGUUUCACAGGAGCUGCAAGGUAACCUUGAGGCAUUGUCUAUGCAAAUCAUUUUACAGAAAAUUUUCUUUUACUUGAUACUAGCAAUUGUUGGUGAUCUGGAGUACUUUGUGGAUAAGCUAGAGGGCACUGAAGUAUAUUUCCAUGCUUAGCUGCAUAAGGAAGUUGCAGACUCAGAAGGCACUGCAUUAAACAACCUAUUUUAUUGCUGUUUCUUUCCUAAUUGAAGAGAGAGAGAGUGUGUGUAACAUGUUUACACCUGAAAAGUGUUAUUCAUCUUCUUGGAAGGUAGUAGAAGUCUCCAUAUUGCUUUGGCAAAAGCUGUUGGGACUUCUAUGGCUCUGCCUGCCGUUUCCCCCAAUCCUUUUCUCUGAAGCUCUGUGGCAUCUUAGAAGACUAAAUAGAUUUUUUAUGUAGGGCAGUUCUCUUUCUUCUGGCAGGUAACCCUCCCUUGAGAAAUGUCAUCAAGAGACACCAGUUUGUUCUUUCGCAACGUUCUUGUAAUAUAUAUCUCAUUAAUGCUGAGGCCUUUAGUGACAAUAUUUCUUUCCUCUAAUAAUAGCUCUUCGGAAGUAUUUUAGGAAUCUUUCAUGCAAUUAAGGAUGUGCUUUGUUCAGAAUUAAAAAAAAGAGGGGGUUGAUUGUUUAUAGUAGUAAAUGUGUGUUUUAAAAGAGGGGGGUGGAGUAGGAACACAGGAAAUCAAUUCCUCAUACAGCAUGAAUCACUUACAUUCUUGGCAGCCAAGCUCAAGUUUACAAGAAUGCUCAGUUUGAUCAACUUCCUUCGAAAUAUUGUAAGCUGAGAGCACAAAAGUGGUUGGGGAGAACAGAACAGGAGAAAAAAGAUACAUGCAUGGAUCUGUGUAGAAGGCUUAACAAAUGACAAGGAAGCAGUUAAUGUAGUAAAUAAAUGUUCUUGCUCAAAAUAUGUUGCAAAUUUACUAUUGAACUAGUGGUCAGGUGAGCAAAAAGCAAAAAGGUAUACUCCUAAAGCUUUUUUGCAUUGCAGAAAUGGGAGAAGAAGUGAGAGCUGAAAAUCAAGUUCACAUUUUGAAUGUGUUGCCCAUUAUGAUUCUGCUUAAAGGCAUUAUUUUGCCCAUUGUUGUUGUUGUUUAGUCAUUUAGUCGUGUCCGACUCUUCGUGACCCCAUGGACCAGAGCAUGCCAGGCACUCCUGUCUUCCACUGCCUCCGCAGUUUGGUCAAUCUCAUGCUGCUAGCUUCAAUUCUUCGGCAAUCAGCCUUCUUUAUGGUCCAGCUCUCACUUCCAUACAUCACUACUGGGAAAACCAUAGCUUUAACUAUACAGACCUUUGUUGGCAAGGUGAUGUCUCUACUUUUUAAGAUGCUGUCUAGGUUUGUUAUUGCUUUUAUCCCAAGAAGCAGGCGUCUUUUAAUUUCGUGCCUGCUGUCACCAUCUGCAGUGAUCAUGGAGCCCAAGAAAGUAAAAUCUCUCACUGCCUCCAUUUCUUCCCCUUCUAUUUGCCAGGAGGUGAUGGGACCAGUGGCCAUGAUCUUCGUUUUUUUGAUGUUGAGCUUCAGACCAUAUUUUGCGCUCUCCUCUUUCACCCUCAUUGAAAGGUUCUUUAAUUCCUCCUCACUUUCUGCCAUCAAGGUUGUGUCAUCUGCAUAUCUGAGGUUGUUGAUAUUUCUUCCGGCAAUCUUAAUUCCGGCUAGGGAUUCAUCCAGCCCAGCCUUUCGCAUGAUGAAUUCUGCAUAUAAGUUAAAUAAGCAAGGAGACAAUAUACAGCCUUGCUGUACUCCUUUCCCAAUUUUGAACCAAUCAGUUGUUCCAUAUGCAGUUCUAACUGUAGCUUCUUGUCCCACAUAGAGAUUUCUCAGGAGACAGAUGAGGUGAUCAGGCACUCCCAUUUCUUUAAGAACUUGCCAUAGUUUGCUGUGGUCGACACAGUCAAAGGCUUUUGCAUAGUCAAUGAAGCAGAAGUAGAUGUCUUUCUGGAACUCUCUAGCUUUCUCCAUAAUCCAGCGCAUGUUUGCAAUUUGGUCUCUGGUUCCUCUGCCUCUUCUAAAUCCAGCUUGCACUUCUGGGAGUUCUCGGUCCACAUACUGCUUGAGCCUUCCUUGUAGAAUUUUAAGCCUAACCUUGCUAGCGUAUGAAAUGAGUGCAAUUGUGCGGUCAUUACUAAGAGGCAAAACUGGAGUCAAUUCCAGCUGAGCCAAUUCCAGACGAGAGUACCUAUACUAUAUAUAUAUAUAUAUAUAUAUAUAUAUAUAUAUAUAUAUAUAUAUAUUAUAUAUAUAUAUGCAUCAUUUUUAAGUAUACACUUAGCGUGUUUUAUGUAUAUAUCUAAAAGGGUAAAUUAUGAAGCGUUUCUAAAUUGUUUGGGCUGGUCAAGACCAGCAGAGGGACUGUAGCAGCCCCUGUCUUGGUGAACAAUCAGUAAUGCAACAAGAAACUGAGCAAAUGAGUAAGAAAUAAAGCACAACGGAGCUAAAAUACCUACUUCCCAUAAACACUGAUGGGAUCUGAGAACUGCACAUGACUAACUCAAAAAGAGCGCAUUGGGUUGCGUUGUACAGCUCAUUGAAAAUACCAUCUCGGUGUGUGGUGACGGGGGGGGGGGGGAGCAAAUUCCAUACCACAGAUGAUUUUAAAAGGUUUUGAAAACAAAACUGCUAGUAAGGCUCUGGUGGUGGGAACUUCCCAUGCCUGGACUUCUGCUAAUGAGACAUUCCUGUUGAAAGAAAAAGAUAUUGCACAGUGGUAGAAGAUCUGCCUUGUGGGCAGAUUCAAUCUGCGGGUAAAGCUGGAAGAGACUCAAACCCUGGAGAGAUGCUGCCAGUCACUGCAAGCAAUUCUGAGUUUGAGGGACAAAUAGGCUGAUUCAGUAUAAGGCAGCUUCUUAUGUUCCUGUGUUUUUUGUUCCAGAAAGGAGGGAUUGCAUGUUCUGCUGGUUUCCCCCCAGCUCCUUUGCUCCUUGAAAAUCUGCUCUGGAAGGUUUGGGGACCCUCCAGAGAAGCAUGAGAGGCAGUGGGUGGGGAGAAGAGAUUGGCCAAAAGAAUCUGUUCCCUCUGCUUGAUCCAAAUUCCAUCCUUGAAUGGGAGCACACAGAGGACUAGUUGGGAUCCGAGGCAUAUUUUUAUAGAUUUGGUGUCGCUCCAUGUACUGUUUCAUUUCCCCCCGUUUUGAAAAAGGAUAUGAUAAAAGCUCUGCAUCUCCUUUACAUCUGCAGGUGUAGCAGUGGACGUGCUGGACCGUUUGUCUUUCCUUGGUAAUGGACUGGAUGAGAGCCAACAAAAUGAAGCUCAGACAGGAGAAGACCGAAGCACUCUUUGUGGGUGGUCAAGGACUAGAAUGGAUGGGAGAUGACCUGCUCUUGAUGAGGUUACACUCCCACAGAAAGGAGCAGGUAUGUAGCUUGGGGGUACUUGUGGAUUCAUUGCUGUCCUUUGACGGUCAAGUGGCCUCGGUGGCUGGAGUGCCUUGCAUAAGUGGCCCACUACUCCCCUAUCUGGCCAGGGGUAGCCUAACUUCUAUUGUCUAUACUCUGGUAAUGUGUUGUAUCUGGGGCUGCCUUGUGGAAUUCAGCAGCAUUGGAUGUAUUUAAAUGAGGAAUUAUAAAAUUCUAGAAUAGAAUAACACAGUAAUUCUUUCCUGUAUAACUAGGUUGGGAAGGGGUAGAGGAGAAAAGCUUUGCCAGAGCUCUUUGUCCACCAUGGAGACCCCCACUAUGCUUGUGUGAAAUCCUUUGGGCAUAGAUCUACUGCUGGCAUUAACUAGUGUUAAGCCCUGAAACUGGGCAUUCCAGGGGUGGGACAGAAUCAGCCCUAAAUCUGUUUGAUCCAUGGAGGCUGGUUCAUUAGGGCAUAUGGGGCAGUGUCCCACCAGUGUCAAGCUUUUUAUUUCUUGCUGCCAUCACAGUGAGGUCUUCUGGUCAUUCUGAGUUAACUGGGUGACCUGCUUUAUUUUAGACAGCCAAAAUGGACUUGUAAUCAACCAGAAGGGUUGCUGCUGUGUGAGGUUAAAGUAUUUACUGUUAUUUUAAUGUCUUUCUGCCAGCAAAUGCCUUAAGUCACUGACAGCAAUGCUUUCUUAUGUAUGUUUACCCAUAAACAAGACCCACUGUGUUCAGUGAGGCAUACGCCCAGGUAAAUGUGCCUAGCAAUGCAGCCUGAAUGAAGCAACUCUACUCUUAAGCUUCCAUAUAAAUCACUCAGAGCUCAAUUUAUUGAUCCACACAAAAACAUUUUAAUAUUUUUAACUGUUAAUUUUAAUUGUUCUCAGUAGUUUUUACUGAUAAUUUUAAUAUUUAUUGUAAACCAAUUUGAGGCUUUAUUACAAUCAACAGUAUGUAAAUUUUGAUAAUUAAUUAAAAAGAGAACUAAGGUGGCAGUUCUGGCUCUUGUCAGGAGGGCCCCCACAACUAACAAACCAAGCUAAACUCUGGCACCAGCAAUAGCUUUGAGCUUAGAAAUCUGUCUAAUGCAGUAGUUUGCAAACUCCCACAUACACCCCAGUCCUAUUGAAAAAUGCUGAAGGUCUUGGCAGACCACUUAGGGUAUUUCUGCCCACUGCAGUGAUUGUGAUACCCUGUGCUAUAUGCUGUAUGAUUUUAAACUCUAUUUUUUGAUGCUUUUAUUUUUUUCUAUACUGUAUUUUGUAAAGAAAUAGAAUUCAAAUUGUAAUACAGUAUAAGAAAUAAAAGAAGCCAUACAGAUACCAUUAAAAAGGAGUACGACUAUAGAAUGAGGGAUGUGUCGUCGCCUGUUUUCAACCACAAAUCCACAAGUGUGCCCCCGACCACCUGAAUGAACCUUGUGGACCACAAUUUGGGAACCCCUGGUCUAAUGCUUUCACAAACUUCUGCAUGGGAGAAUAAGGAUGCAGUCAUGAAAUCCUUCCACUGAAAAAUAUAUAUCGUCUUUCCACAGCUGUGGUUUUAUUUCAUCACAAGAGGCGCACGUGCAUAGAACACAGAAGAAUUGUGGGAGUUCCUUGCCUUAUGGUGACAUUUCCGUGGGGAAAGGAAGAACACAAUAAUAAGAUUCACUGACUAUGUGUGCAUAUAUUAAUUCCUGUAAAAUAGUCAUUGGAAGUCAUGCUUCCAUUUCUCCUGAAACCCAGGAGAAAAAUAAUUAUUCUGUUGUAAAUAUUUGGCUGGAGGGUUUUUGUAACAAACCUUAAUGUUUUCAUAGAAAUCAGCGAGUGACUAAUGCUUGGGAGCUGACUGAAUUCAUUCCAAGACCAAGAGUUAUGAUACUGUGCUUUGAGCUAGCUUCCUUUCACAUUACCACUCUGUCAAGUAGAGCCCUGACCUUUCAGGACCACCCUCUUCAGGAAUGGAGGUCAUUCUGCCUGCAUCCUGUCUCACGAAGGCACACCCCUCCCCCUCCAAGUGCAAGAGAGUUUCUGCUGCAGACGGACUGUGACAUUCUGCUUCCCUGUACAGAUUCUGCUAUGGAUUUAUGUUUGCCAGUGAAACACAACAGUGGUGAAGCGAACAUGAAUAAAAACACACACAGCAAAAGCAACACAGUACUGUAACAGCCUUUCACUUGGAAAUGCAUCAUGAGCUACUGAAAUAGACGGCAGAGGAGCUGGAAGUGUACCAUUAAUAGACAAGCUGCAUCUUCCUUACUUAGAUACGGUGUGGUAUGAUACUAAACUGAGCACUAUUUCUGGGGUUCUCUUCAUCUCUAGCAGUGUUUCUCUACUAACUUGUGAUGCUUUUCUUAGAGCCAGUUCCCUGUGUUAUCCUCUGUUCGGAGGCUAGGCCAGCGCUGCAAAACCUCAAGCCGAGGGGUUGAAAUGUGACCUCUCAGAACCAAGUCACACCUCUCACUGCCACUAUUUUUCAGCCUCCUUAGUUUUUUUUGCCCACCUGGACUGUGUUCUUGAACUCUCAAUUAUGCUUCUUGCCUGAAUGGAGGAUAGACAGAGGCAUCUGAGAGUUUGCAAAACCAGCCUAUUGUAUAAAGAUGAAAUUUACAUUAGGUGCGCCCCCCUCGACCCACACGGAAGGUUGUCCAGAAGGGAAGGUCGCCCACUGUCUCCAAACCGUUCCCCACCCCUGCUAGGUACAUCUGUCAGGUUCCAUUUUUAACUCUGUACUCCAGUUUAGGAGGCCUUCUGCCUACCUUGUAAAUGCUAUAACCAAGGUAAAAGUAAAGGUAAAGGGACCCCUGACCAUUAGGUCCAGUCGUGGACGACUCUGGGGUUGCGGCGCUCAUCUCGCUUUAU